UAGGAUAUCGGUCUUUGGGGAGCCUGGUCUUUUGCUUGGACAAAUGCAAGUGCACUUGGAGAUUAGGCUGAACAUAAAAUGAAAGAAAAAGUCAAAAAGCACAAAGAGCGGGAGGACUGAGAUCUUGUCCUAAAGUGGAGCAAAGGAGUGGAGCAUGAUGGACUGCAGAGAUAGGCUGUAAAACUAAGCUUGACUGCGUAUCCGGGUGUUUUCUUGAGCGCCGCAUUGUUCACUGAAAGUGAAAUGCUGAUUCUAAUUGAGAGAAGCACACAGGAGCAUGUUCAAAUAGCUCAUUUGGAGCCUGUGUCAUCGCUUACGGCCAUACCACCCUGAACACGCCCGAUCUCGUCCGAUCUCGGAAGCUAAGCAGGGUCGGGCCUGGUUAGUACUUGGAUGGGAGACCGCCUGGGAAUACCAGGUGCUGUAAGCUUUUCUCUUCUUUUCUUGCAUCUUUUUGCCGUGUUCUCUCUCCAAGAGGCUAGGAUAUCGGUCUUUGGGGAGCCUGGUCUUUUGCUUGGACAAAUGCAAGUGCACUUGGAGAUUAGGCUGAACAUAAAAUGAAAGAAAAAGUCGAAAAGCACAAAGAGCGGGAGGACUGAGAUCUUGUCCUAAAGUGGAGCAAAGGAGUGGAGCAUGAUGGACUGCAGAGAUAGGCUGUAAAACUAAGCUUGACUGCGUAUCCGGGUGUUUUCUUGAGCGCCGCAUUGUUCACUGAAAGUGAAAUGCUGAUUCUAAUUGAGAGAAGCACACAGGAGCAUGUUCAAAUAGCUCAUUUGGAGCCUGUGUCAUCGCUUACGGCCAUACCACCCUGAACACGCCCGACCUCGUCCGAUCUCGGAAGCUAAGCAGGGUCGGGCCUGGUUAGUACUUGGAUGGGAGACCGCCUGGGAAUACCAGGUGCUGUAAGCUUUUCUCUUCUUUUCUUGCAUCUUUUUGCCGUGUUCUCUCUCCAAGAGGCUAGGAUAUCGGUCUUUGGGGAGCCUGGUCUUUUGCUUGGACAAAUGCAAGUGCACUUGGAGAUUAGGCUGAACAUAAAAUGAAAGAAAAAGUCAAAAAGCACAAAGAGCGGGAGGACUGAGAUCUUGUCCUAAAGUGGAGCAAAGGAGUGGAGCAUGAUGGACUGCAGAGAUAGGCUGCAAAACUAAGCUUGACUGCGUAUCCGGGUGUUUUCUUGAGCGCCGCAUUGUUCACUGAAAGUGAAAUGCUGAUUCUAAUUGAGAGAAGCACACAGGAGCAUGUUCAAAUAGCUCAUUUGGAGCCUGUGUCAUCGCUUACGGCCAUACCACCCUGAACACGCCCGACCUCGUCCGAUCUCGGAAGCUAAGCAGGGUCGGGCCUGGUUAGUACUUGGAUGGGAGACCGCCUGGGAAUACCAGGUGCUGUAAGCUUUUCUCUUCUUUUCUUGCAUCUUUUUGCCGUGUUCUCUCUCCAAGAGGCUAGGAUAUCGGUCUUUGGGGAGCCUGGUCUUUUGCUUGGACAAAUGCAAGUGCACUUGGAGAUUAGGCUGAACAUAAAAUGAAAGAAAAAGUCAAAAAGCACAAAGAGCGGGAGGACUGAGAUCUUGUCCUAAAGUGGAGCAAAGGAGUGGAGCAUGAUGGACUGCAGAGAUAGGCUGUAAAACUAAGCUUGACUGCGUAUCCGGGUGUUUUCUUGAGCGCCGCAUUGUUCACUGAAAGUGAAAUGCUGAUUCUAAUUGAGAGAAGCACACAGGAGCAUGUUCAAAUAGCUCAUUUGGAGCCUGUGUCAUCGCUUACGGCCAUACCACCCUGAACACGCCCGAUCUCGUCCGAUCUCGGAAGCUAAGCAGGGUCGGGCCUGGUUAGUACUUGGAUGGGAGACCGCCUGGGAAUACCAGGUGCUGUAAGCUUUUCUCUUCUUUUCUUGCAUCUUUUUGCCGUGUUCUCUCUCCAAGAGGCUAGGAUAUCGGUCUUUGGGGAGCCUGGUCUUUUGCUUGGACAAAUGCAAGUGCACUUG
Xyrichtys novacula (pearly razorfish) is the source of this 1974-nucleotide non-coding RNA. The record is from the annotation of a GenBank genome assembly. Lineage: Eukaryota; Metazoa; Chordata; Actinopteri; Labriformes; Labridae.